AAGGAUUUAAGUUAAAAAUUAAACUGAUAGCCUUCAAAGCUUUUUAUAAAGUAUAUUCUUUAAGCCUUA
This 69-nucleotide transfer RNA is filed under the name Dermestes lardarius (bacon beetle). Its description in RNAcentral is "tRNA-Trp". Lineage: Eukaryota; Metazoa; Arthropoda; Insecta; Coleoptera; Dermestidae. The record is from RNAcentral.